UGUCGGGAACUCCAGGGAGACUGCCGGUGAUAAACCGGAGGAAGGUGGGGACGACGUCAAGUCAUCAUGGCCCUUACGAGUAGGGCUACACACGUGCUACAAUGGCGCAUACAGAGGGCGGCCAACUUGCGAAAGUGAGCGAAUCCCAAAAAGUGCGUCGUAGUCCGGAUUGGAGUCUGCAACUCGACUCCAUGAAGUCGGAAUCGCUAGUAAUCGUGGAUCAGAAUGCCACGGUGAAUACGUUCCCGGGCCUUGUACACACCGCCCGUCACACCAUGGGAGUGGGCUGCAAAAGAAGUAGGUAGUUUAACCUUCGGGGGGACGCUUACCACUUUGUGGUUCAUGACUGGGGUGAAGUCGUAACAAGGUAGCGCUAGGGGAACCUGGCGCUGGAUCACCUCCUUAUACG
RNAcentral lists this small RNA (409 nucleotides) under uncultured bacterium. RNAcentral's name for it is "bacterial SSU rRNA". It matches the Rfam family "Bacterial small subunit ribosomal RNA", at positions 1129 to 1533 of the family's 1533-position model. The record is from RNAcentral.